AUGGCAGGCCAACAUCAUUGUCGUUAUAUACUUUCUCACCCCCUGUGCCUGGAGCAAAUUUUCUUUUCUUCAGGUUUGGGGAGUGUACCAGAUGGUAGUUGGGUUCUUUUGGUAUUCGCGGCUGUACUGUAUUUGACAAUGUACCUGAGGAAAUAUGAGAUCAAGUUGAAGUACGGAACUGAGGUUAAGCAAAAGCUUUUGGUGGAUUUAAUGAUCUUUGGUCUUUUCCUGACCAUAAUGCCUGCCAUUUAUUCGAUGAUCUUUUUUGUCUGCAUCAAGUGGGUCUCUGUUCCUGUUGUUCCUCAGAAUGAAAGGUUUCUGUUUCGCCGGUCUGCCCCCAAAGAACUACCACAUGUUUAG
RNAcentral lists this ribosomal RNA (360 nucleotides) under Triticum aestivum (bread wheat). RNAcentral's name for it is "partial small subunit ribosomal RNA". Lineage: Eukaryota; Viridiplantae; Streptophyta; Magnoliopsida; Poales; Poaceae. The record is from RNAcentral.